RNAcentral lists this non-coding RNA (72 nucleotides) under Paramoeba aestuarina. The record is from RNAcentral. Lineage: Eukaryota; Discosea; Flabellinia; Dactylopodida; Paramoebidae.
UUUUUCCUUCUUUUUAUCCUUCUUUUUAUCCUUCUUCUUCUCUUUAUCCUUCUCCUCCAUAGAGGGUGAUUG